UGGGGAAUAUUGCACAAUGGGCGCAAGCCUGAUGCAGCCAUGCCGCGUGUAUGAAGAAGGCCUUCGGGUUGUUAAAGAUACUUUCAGCGAGGAGGAAGGCAUUAAGGUUAAUAACCUUGGUGAUUGACGUUACUCGCAGAAGAAGCACCGGCUAACUCCGUGCCAGCAGCCGCGGUAAUACGGAGGGUGCAAGCGUUAAUCGGAAUUACUGGGCGUAAAGCGCACGCAGGCGGUCUGUCAAGUCGGAUGUGAAAUCCCCGGGCUCAACCUGGGAACUGUAUUCGAAACUGGCAGGCUAGAGUCUUGUAGAGGGG
RNAcentral lists this ribosomal RNA (314 nucleotides) under uncultured Enterobacteriaceae bacterium. Its description in RNAcentral is "bacterial SSU rRNA". It matches the Rfam family "Bacterial small subunit ribosomal RNA", at positions 355 to 659 of the family's 1533-position model. Lineage: Bacteria; Pseudomonadati; Pseudomonadota; Gammaproteobacteria; Enterobacterales; Enterobacteriaceae. The record is from RNAcentral.